UACUACGGAAUAACGCAGGGAAACUUGUGCUAAUACCGUAUGUGUCCUUCGGGAGAAAGAUUUAUCGGUAAAGGAUGAGCCCGCGUUGGAUUAGCUAGUUGGUGGGGUAAAGGCCUACCAAGGCGACGAUCCAUAGCUGGUCUGAGAGGAUGAUCAGCCACAUUGGGACUGAGACACGGCCCAAACUCCUACGGGAGGCAGCAGUGGGGAAUAUUGGACAAUGGGCGCAAGCCUGAUCCAGCCAUGCCGCGUGAGUGAUGAAGGCCCUAGGGUUGUAAAGCUCUUUCACCGGAGAAGAUAAUGACGGUAUCCGGAGAAGAAGCCCCGGCUAACUUCGUGCCAGCAGCCGCGGUAAUACGAAGGGGGCUAGCGUUGUUCGGAAUUACUGGGCGUAAAGCGCACGUAGGCGGAUCGAUCAGUCAGGGGUGAAAUCCCAGGGCUCAACCCUGGAACUGCCUUUGAUACUGUCGAUCUGGAGUGUGGAAGAGGUGAGUGGAAUUCCGAGUGUAGAGGUGAAAUUCGUAGAUAUUCGGAGGAACACCAGUGGCGAAGGCGGCUCACUGGUCCAUUACUGACGCUGAGGUGCGAAAGCGUGGGG
Molecule: ribosomal RNA, 598 nt
Filed under: Rhizobium sp.
Lineage: Bacteria; Pseudomonadati; Pseudomonadota; Alphaproteobacteria; Hyphomicrobiales; Rhizobiaceae
Description: bacterial SSU rRNA
Rfam family: Bacterial small subunit ribosomal RNA
Source: RNAcentral